This 544-nucleotide ribosomal RNA is filed under the name uncultured bacterium. RNAcentral describes it as "partial 16S ribosomal RNA". It matches the Rfam family "Bacterial small subunit ribosomal RNA", at positions 356 to 914 of the family's 1533-position model. The record is from RNAcentral.
GGGGAAUAUUGCACAAUGGGCGAAGGCCUGAUGCAGCAACGCCGCGUGAGUGAUGAAGGUCUUCGGAUUGUAAAGCUCUGUCUUUUGGGACGAUAAUGACGGUACCAAAGGAGGAAGCCACGGCUAACUACGUGCCAGCAGCCGCGGUAAUACGUAGGUGGCGAGCGUUGUCCGGAUUUACUGGGCGUAAAGGGUGCGUAGGCGGAUGUUUAAGUGAGAUGUGAAAUACCCGGGCUUAACUUGGGUGCUGCAUUUCAAACUGGAUAUCUAGAGUGCAGGAGAGGAGAAUGGAAUUCCUAGUGUAGCGGUGAAAUGCGUAGAGAUUAGGAAGAACACCAGUGGCGAAGGCGAUUCUCUGGACUGUAACUGACGCUGAGGCACGAAAGCGUGGGUAGCAAACAGGAUUAGAUACCCUGGUAGUCCACGCCGUAAACGAUGAGUACUAGGUGUAGGAGGUAUCGACCCCUUCUGUGCCGCAGUAAACACAUUAAGUACUCCGCCUGGGAAGUACGAUCGCAAGAUUAAAACUCUAAAGUGAAUUGAC